RNAcentral lists this transfer RNA (68 nucleotides) under Galaxiella nigrostriata (black-stripe minnow). Its description in RNAcentral is "tRNA-Phe". Lineage: Eukaryota; Metazoa; Chordata; Actinopteri; Galaxiiformes; Galaxiidae. The record is from RNAcentral.
GCUAGCGUAGCUUACUUAAAGCAUGACACUGAAGAUGUUAGGAUGGGCCCUAGAAAGUCCCGAAAGCA